UACGGAGGAUGCGAGCGUUAUCCGGAUUUAUUGGGUUUAAAGGGUGCGUAGGCGGACUGUCAAGUCAGCGGUAAAAUUGAGAGGCUCAACCUCUUCCCGCCGUUGAAACUGGUGGUCUUGAGUGGAUGAGAAGUACGCGGAAUGCGUGGUGUAGCGGUGAAAUCCAUAGAUAUCACGCAGAACUCCGAUUGCGAAGGCAGCGUACCGGCAUCCAACUGACGCUGAGGCACGAAAGCGUGGGGAUCAAACAGG
Molecule: ribosomal RNA, 252 nt
Filed under: uncultured bacterium
Lineage: Bacteria
Description: partial 16S ribosomal RNA
Rfam family: Bacterial small subunit ribosomal RNA
Source: RNAcentral